ACGGGUGAGUAGCGCGUGGGAACCUGCCUUGGAGUGGGGGAUAACCGAGGGAAACUUCGGCUAAUACCGCAUACGCCCCGGCGUGAGCCGGGGGAAAGAUUGAUCGCUCCAAGAGGGGCCCGCGUCGGAUUAGGUAGUUGGUGGGGUAACGGCCUACCAAGCCGGUGAUCCGUAGCUGGUCUGAGAGGAUGAUCAGCCACACUGGGACUGAGACACGGCCCAGACUCCUACGGGAGGCAGCAGUGGGGAAUAUUGGACAAUGGGCGCAAGCCUGAUCCAGCAAUGCCGCGUGAGUGAUGAAGGCCUUAGGGUUGUAAAGCUCUUUCGCCCGCGACGAUGAUGACGGUAGCGGGAGAAGAAGCCCCGGCUAACUUCGUGCCAGCAGCCGCGG
RNAcentral lists this ribosomal RNA (391 nucleotides) under uncultured bacterium. Its description in RNAcentral is "bacterial SSU rRNA". It matches the Rfam family "Bacterial small subunit ribosomal RNA", at positions 102 to 520 of the family's 1533-position model. The record is from RNAcentral.